Molecule: long non-coding RNA, 332 nt
Organism: Strigops habroptila (Kakapo)
Lineage: Eukaryota; Metazoa; Chordata; Aves; Psittaciformes; Psittacidae
Exons: 2
Source: RefSeq, a predicted model, not a curated record
GAAGUUUACUUACUGAAGACAAGAAGUGGCAAGUGACCGACAGGAAUCUUGGGGCUUGGGGGGAAUCUCUGGGUAGUUGAGAAGAACCAGAGAAGAUGAAAACUCUUGGAGCUACUUAAUUCCCCUUGCCAUUUCUAACAUAGGUGUUCUGCUUCUGUUGCACUGUUCAUUCCUCUUGUAUGUUAGGAAAAUGCAACUCAUUUCAGUAUUUUCCUUUGAUGUAGCUACUUGCACUCUUUUCAGAUGAAGUAAUGGAAGUUUUUAUUCGAAUAGGACUAUUUUCUUUUGGAUUAAGCUAAUUUGGUCAAAUAUGAGCAGUAUAAUAGCAACUG